RNAcentral lists this ribosomal RNA (490 nucleotides) under uncultured bacterium. RNAcentral describes it as "partial 16S ribosomal RNA". It matches the Rfam family "Bacterial small subunit ribosomal RNA", at positions 30 to 507 of the family's 1533-position model. The record is from RNAcentral.
AUUGAACGCUGGCGGCAGGCCUAACACAUGCAAGUCGAACGGUAACAGGAAGAAGCUUGCUUCUUUGCUGACGAGUGGCGGACGGGUGAGUAAUGUCUGGGAAACUGCCUGAUGGAGGGGGAUAACUACUGGAAACGGUAGCUAAUACCGCAUAACGUCGCAAGACCAAUGAGGGGGACCUUCGGGCCUCUUGCCAUCGGAUGUGCCCAGAUGGGAUUAGCUAGUAGGUGGGGUAACGGCUCACCUAGGCGACGAUCCCUAGCUGGUCUGAGAGGAUGACCAGCCACACUGGAACUGAGACACGGUCCAGACUCCUACGGGAGGCAGCAGUGGGGAAUAUUGCACAAUGGGCGCAAGCCUGAUGCAGCCAUGCCGCGUGUAUGAAGAAGGCCUUCGGGUUGUAAAGUACUUUCAGCGGGGAGGAAGGGAGUAAAGUUAAUACCUUUGCUCAUUGACGUUACCCGCAGAAGAAGCACCGGCUAACUCCGUG